AUUUCAAAGGGGCCGGAUCCGGCCUGCGGGCUGUAGUUUGCCCACGGCUGGCUAGGCACUGGUCCCUGUUGCCUCAUCUGUUAGGGUAGUUACCAGUGUAACCCCCUCAAAGUAUGGGCCACUGAUCUGUAGCCUCGGCUUCCUGGAUCAUGUUAGAAUGCAAAAUCUCAGGCCCCUCCUCAGAGUCAGAGCCUCUGGGGUGGCCCCUGAAAUCCCCCUCGCUAGGGGAUUUUUUGCUCACUGAAGUUUGAGGAUCCCUGGGGUGAGCUAUCAGAAAUCUUCACAGACCUGGCUCCACAGAUCCUCCUGGGUGCCAAUGGGCUGGGCCUCACUUUUAUAGGCACCUGCAGGGUUCUGGGGAAACAUGUUCCCGGCUGCCCGUUAGAGUUUAGAAACGGCUAUGGUGUGAAUGUUUGUGUCUUCCCAAAUGCAUCUGGUGAAACCCUAAUCCCGAAAGGUGAUGGUACGAGAAGGUGGGCCUUUGGGGAGGUGCUUCAUCUUGAGGGUAGAGCCUCGUGAGUGGGAUUAGUACUUUCACAAAUGAGGCCCCACAGAGCUUCCUACCCCCUCUCCUCUGGAUGACACAGUGAGGAGUCUGCAUCCUGGAAGAGCGUGCUCACCGGACCCUGCUGGCACCCUGACCUUGGAUGUCCAGCCUCCAAAACUGCAAUGGCGAGCCGUUGGGCAUCUAAAGAGGAAAGGGCUGUGUUCAGAGCAGCACCGGAGGAAGGUGUAGUGGGCGGCCAAGUUUCAGAAGAAUUGAGGAGAAAAGAAUCCAGGUAGCACCAAUCUGCUUGCCUAAGGCUGUCCUCACUCCCUCCAGCGGGCUAAGAGAGUUCUCCUUUCGGCAAACUCCCUCUAUAACUUGGCAUUCUCAGGCCUCUACAUUUCUGCCAACCACAUGGAUGUGAAUCAACAUUUCAUUGUAAUAUUAACUUGCGUUUCCCUGAGGACCCAGCCCAUGGCAGAAAGGCUUGUGCCAGCAUGGACACACACAAGACUGAGUCUCCUGCCCAGGAGUGCUGGUUCCUGAGACAGAAGAGUCUUUGUGAAGAAGGGAGAAGAAGAACCCUGAUGCCUCCUGUGGGCUCCAGGCGGAGGAAGGAGGGAUGCCUGGCACUGAGGGGAGGCAGGGCCUGGACUGGAGCCUCCAAGGUGCGGCGAGAGGCUUUCUAGAUUUCUGAGGCUUCUGGGGCGAAGGGGCUGGGUCCCCUGGAAGGGGAGAGAGAAAGCAGGAAGAGGGCCUUUCUCCUCUCACUGUCCUGAGGGGACCCGGCAGGCUCUGCCCCCGCCUUCUUUCUAGAAUGUGGGAGGUACUUGAGGGCACCCCAGAAAGUUGAGGCUACGGCAUAGAUAUGGAACAGAUAACAGUGGAAGUAGAGAAAGAUUGUCUUUUAAGUCUCUUUCAAUACUUCUAAUUGUAUCUGGGGGAAAGACUCCCUUUGGUCUAACCCAGCGGUUCUCAACCUGUGGGUCUCGACCCCUUUGGCGGUCGAACGACCCUUUCACAGGGGUCACCUAAGACCAUCCUGCAUAUCAGAUAUUUACAUUACGAUUCAUAACAGUAGCAACAUUACAGUUAUGAAGUAGCAGCGAAAAGAAUUUUAUGGUUGGGUCACAACAUGAGGAACUGUAUUUAAAGGGCCAGAAGGUUGAGAACCACUGGUCUAACCCGUCAACCCUGUGGAAUGCUUGCUAAUCCCCCCCUUUUAACUCUGAGAGACUGGGCCUGAGGCUUUGGAGACCUGGGAGCUGGGGUAUCUGACUAGAUAUUUAAUAACGUUGCUUUGUUUGUGUUGUAUUUGCUUGUUGGGGGUUGCCUUCUAUUCUGACAAGUGAUGGCAGUUUGCUAUUAGUGAUGCUAAUAGAAAGUUUCCUUUUAAUACAUGUAUUUGAGCAAAAGAAAGCCGCCGUAUGUGUGUAAGAUCACAUUUAUGUGAACAUCUGGAUAAAGAGAUGUAGAAAAGGAGGGUCAGCAGAAUGUUGAUGGCAGUCAGAUCCCGGUGAUUUUUGUCUUCCUUAUGCUUUUUUUUGGUAUUGUUUGCAUUUUUUCAAUGAGCAUACGUUAUUUAAAAUAUCAGAAAAUAACUACUUUUGUUAUGGAGAAAGAUACAUAUGUUUAAAGGAACAUACUAAAUACAUAAUAAUGCAAGGAAUAUAUUAUAUGGCUUUAGCAACAUGGUUGACUUGGCCUGGGUGACUUUGUGCUGGGAGACUAUGAGGACCGGCCCAGGCAAACAGCCAGGACGGCCUACCUGUCACGGGAAAUUUGGGCACCUACUUACUGCUGGGGGCUGGGCCUUGUCUUUUCAGCCCUGUCCAGAGGAUUUCAUUUCAGUGUCUCACUGACAACUUUUGAACCAGGUAAAAGCAUUGAUCGGUUGAUGAGCUGGGACUGAGUUUCUGUGGUGUGUUAGACCAGGGGUCCUCAAACUUUUUAAACAGGGGGCCAGUUCACCGUCCCUCAGACCGUUGGAGGGCCGGACUAUAGUUUUAAAAAAAAACUAUGAACAAAUUCCUAUGCACACUGCACAUAUCUUAUUUUGAAGUAAAAAAACAAAACGGGAACAAAUACAAUAUUUGUAUUUGUGUGUGGCCCGCGGGCCGUAGUUUGAGGACCCCUGUGUUAGACCUUUGCGUUGCCUGCAUUUAGAUGCCUCAGGUUGGGGUGGACAAAGGGAAUUUGGCCAGGGUCUCGAUUUCUCUUCCUGGUGCUGUCCUAUGAAUGGUCUUGUUGUAGAAGACCGAAAAAACCCAAGCACCCCUUAGAGAAAUGGAGAUACACAGCUUUAUUAUGCCGGCGGUCUCAGAGGAGUUGCUUCCAAAGUCUGAGCAAACCAAUAUGGUGGAAGCUCUUCUUUUAUCCCCUUUGGUUUCUUUGUCCCCCAAAUAUGGAUGGGACUUCCAGACCUUUCCUGGGCUUUGCAAAAAGCCCUGUGUGUUGGGAUGGGGUCCUUGAGACCAUAUCUAAGGGCUUGGCCUGGUGCCAGCGCCGAUAACCUCCUCUGGGGGUUGUGUAUUGUUCGUGGUUUAUGGCCGCUGUAAAAUGUGAGCAUUUAGGUAACAGGUCUUGCAAGACCAGAUUGUGGAGAAAGGGGCAGUGACUUAAUUAUAGGUUAUCAAGAAUGUACAUUAGGUUACUGGCACAGAUUCAGAUUGCUAGCCUCCAAAACAUCAGGGUUACAUUGGAGUUAGCCUUUUAGCCUUCUCAGUCUGUUGUUCUAGAGCUGAACAGCCUUCUCCGUGUAGGCUGUUCGCCUGUCUGCGGAGUGACCACUAUUUGGCUCUCUUCCCAAAGAGUCCUGGCAGCUAGUGCCAGUUCGCUCCUCCGCAAUGUAGGGCGUCAUUUAACAGGAGCCCCUGGGGCGAAGGAUUCCUCCUGUGUAGCCACCGGAAUCCUCCGUUCACCGUUCACCGCCCUCAGGAAAAGGCUUUUUCAGAUCACACCCUGAAUGACUAUUUAAUCUUUAAUGGGGCCAACACGUCCAGACAGAACAAGGAGCAGACAGUGACUCCGGCUCUUCCUUGGGGAUUUACCGGGCUUCAUGGUCUGACUGCUGUGCUGUGUGUCUGAUUAUGGGGUGGAUGGGGAUUGAGUCCACAGUAUCUUCCAUCAUGAGAUAAUACAGGACCAUGUUGUCGCUAAUCCAUAGGCACAAGACAGCCACAGGCCCUGCCCUCCUGGGGUGGCAGUCAGUCUGAUGGAGGAGGCAGACUAAUAAGGGCAGGUGUGAAGAGGGUUUGCUGCAGCACGUAGCAGUGGUCACUGAAGGGGGGUUGAGAGGGGUGUCUGAACAGAAGACUUAGAAUGAGACACUGCGGGGGAGGGGAAAAUUUCCCCUUUUAGUUAUUCUGGCUGGCCUAAUAAUCAAAUGGACAUGAGACAGAUCAACAGGAGAAGAUGAUCAAAUGUAGUUAUGUAUGUGCAUACAAGGGUUCCUGUAAGACAAGGGGACCCAAGGGCAAAUCUGACAGGUGAGGUUUCUAUGCCAUCUUGAGCCAAGGAGAAAGGGAGUAAUGGUUUAUAUUUCUAAGAGAAGGUAGGCAAUUCACAGAGAGAGAUGGGAAGGAACUAAAUAUUUGGUAAACAAAUUCUUGCAGGUCUACCCAGAAACAAUGGGACACAGAGGGGAGUCCAACAAACAGACUUCCUGGGUUCCUCCCUGUCUGCCACACUUAGUUUAUGUUAAAACAUAGUUGUCUGUGAUUAUAGCUCUCUUCCUGGAGCAGGUUCUCGGUCUAAAUUCCUUUAGGCAAUUUUUGGAGAAGGUCAAAGUUUCUUCCUGAGGCUUGUUUUUAAAAAAUAAACCAUCUUAAAAUAAACAGUAUUCCCAAAAAAAGGGCAUAUUUGAGGUGGGAAACCUCUCCUCCCCUUCAACUCAAAGAAAGAAUUCACCAGAUGAGGAGAGGUGGGAAGGAGUGAUCCAGGGAGAGGGAACAGAAUAUGCCGAAACCCAGGUGCCAGAGGGACCCUGCUGUGUUCAGCUGGGAGAAGAAGAGAGAAUAAGCUGGGGAGAUGGGGAGGGCCCACAUCCUGUUGGACCUCCUAGGACAGGCGUUCUCAACUGAGGGCAGUUUUGACCCCCAGGAGCCUUUGGCAAGAUUGCUCAGUUGUCACAAAUGUGUUUUUGUGUGUGU
Molecule: long non-coding RNA, 4638 nt
Organism: Myotis myotis
Lineage: Eukaryota; Metazoa; Chordata; Mammalia; Chiroptera; Vespertilionidae
Exons: 4
Source: RefSeq, a predicted model, not a curated record